RNAcentral lists this ribosomal RNA (465 nucleotides) under uncultured bacterium. Its description in RNAcentral is "bacterial SSU rRNA". It matches the Rfam family "Bacterial small subunit ribosomal RNA", at positions 329 to 792 of the family's 1533-position model. The record is from RNAcentral.
UGCCAGACUCCUACGGGAGGCAGCAGUGAGGAAUAUUGGUCAAUGGGCGAGAGCCUGAACCAGCCAAGUCGCGUGAGGGAAGACGGUCCUAUGGAUUGUAAACCUCUUUUGCCGGGGAGCAAAAAGCGGUACGUGUACCGCAUCGAGAGUACCCGGAGAAAAAGCAUCGGCUAACUCCGUGCCAGCAGCCGCGGUAAUACGGAGGAUGCGAGCGUUAUCCGGAUUUAUUGGGUUUAAAGGGUGCGCAGGCGGAGGUGCAAGUCAGUGGUCAAAUUGCGGGGCUCAACCCCGUACUGCCGUUGAAACUGGUUUUCUUGAGUGAGUGAGAAGUAUGCGGAAUGCGUGGUGUAGCGGUGAAAUGCAUAGAUAUCACGCAGAACUCCGAUUGCGAAGGCAGCAUACCGGCGCUCAACUGACGCUCAUGCACGAAAGUGUGGGUAUCGAACAGGAUUAGAUACCCUUGUA